Molecule: ribosomal RNA, 716 nt
Filed under: Micrococcus sp. YNLB32-70-270505
Lineage: Bacteria; Bacillati; Actinomycetota; Actinomycetes; Micrococcales; Micrococcaceae
Description: bacterial SSU rRNA
Rfam family: Bacterial small subunit ribosomal RNA
Source: RNAcentral
AUUGCACAAUGGGCGCAAGCCUAUGCAGCGACGCCGCGUGAGGGAUGACGGCCUUCGGGUUGUAAACCUCUUUCAGUAGGGAAGAAGCGAAAGUGACGGUACCUGCAGAAGAAGCACCGGCUAACUACGUGCCAGCAGCCGCGGUAAUACGUAGGGUGCGAGCGUUAUCCGGAAUUAUUGGGCGUAAAGAGCUCGUAGGCGGUUUGUCGCGUCUGUCGUGAAAGUCCGGGGCUUAACCCCGGAUCUGCGGUGGGUACGGGCAGACUAGAGUGCAGUAGGGGAGACUGGAAUUCCUGGUGUAGCGGUGGAAUGCGCAGAUAUCAGGAGGAACACCGAUGGCGAAGGCAGGUCUCUGGGCUGUAACUGACGCUGAGGAGCGAAAGCAUGGGGAGCGAACAGGAUUAGAUACCCUGGUAGUCCAUGCCGUAAACGUUGGGCACUAGGUGUGGGGACCAUUCCACGGUUUCCGCGCCGCAGCUAACGCAUUAAGUGCCCCGCCUGGGGAGUACGGCCGCAAGGCUAAAACUCAAAGGAAUUGACGGGGGCCCGCACAAGCGGCGGAGCAUGCGGAUUAAUUCGAUGCAACGCGAAGAACCUUACCAAGGCUUGACAUGUUCUCGAUCGCCGUAGAGAUACGGUUUCCCCUUUGGGGCGGGUUCACAGGUGGUGCAUGUUGUCGUCAGCUCGUGUCGUGAGAUGUUGGGUUAAGUCCCGCA